RNAcentral lists this unclassified non-coding RNA (672 nucleotides) under Hevea brasiliensis (rubber tree). Lineage: Eukaryota; Viridiplantae; Streptophyta; Magnoliopsida; Malpighiales; Euphorbiaceae. The record is from RNAcentral.
AGAAAUCCAAGGCAGUGCAUGCUCAAGAAAAUAGCAAUUAUGUUAUGGAUUAAACUAGAAAUUAAGUAGCAGCCGCAUUUUGAGACAUUAUUCGAGGUUCAGAAUAUCCCAGUUAGAAGAUUUGCAGCAGUGGAAAUUGCGGCUCCAGUGAUAGCACAUUGAACUACAUGAUCAUGGGAGACAUCAUCUGUUGUAAGUGCCAAUGCCAUGCCUGUUAUAGCUCCAGCCACUGCACUAUUUUUCCAAUCAUGAGCUCCACGAGCCUCUCUUAGCCCAUAAGUGAGACCUGAAUACACCCCAGCAGCCAGUCCCCACUGUAAUGAUUCUUUUCCCGUGCUCUUCACCAAGGCUUCAAGAGAAUUUCGGUUGGUUUCUCCUUUGAGGUCAGGGAAUCGGUGGCGCUUCUUGGAAUCAGUAGACAGCUCUGGCGGCACAUCACUUGAAUCAAAUCCACUACCUUCAAUUGCAGUGAAAUAAGCCUCACGAGACACCGCCUGAAUUGCUCCAAUCCCAGCGGCUUUGACAAAGCUCUCGGCGAUGCGGUUGAGGAGAGGGUGGCCAAGGUCGAAGAAGCAACCCUUUUCGAAUCCACGGAGUUCAUCCAGUAAUGACAAGUUCUUGCUCAUUUUUGGAGCUCUUUUCUUCUCUCUGUCUCUCUCUCUCUCUCUCUCU